RNAcentral lists this long non-coding RNA (301 nucleotides) under Rattus norvegicus (Norway rat). RNAcentral describes it as "long non-coding RNA NONRATT012652". The record is from RNAcentral. Lineage: Eukaryota; Metazoa; Chordata; Mammalia; Rodentia; Muridae.
CCACUACCCAAAGACUAUACAUGGACUGACCCUGGGCUCCAGCUGCAUAUGUAGCAGAGGAUGGCCUUGUUGGGCACCAAAGGGAGGAGAAGCCCUCGGUCCUGCCCAGGCUGGACCCCCACCCCAGUGCAAGAGAACGUCAAGGGGGGAUGAAAAGAGGGUGGUUGGGGAUGGGGAACACCUUUAUAAAAGAAGGGGAGAGGCUGGGAUAGGAUGCUUAGGGCCAGGAAACCAGGAAAGGGAAUAACAUUUGAAGUGUAAAUAAAAAUAUCCAAAUAAAUAAAUAAAUAAGAACAGAAAA